Molecule: long non-coding RNA, 2393 nt
Filed under: Homo sapiens (human)
Lineage: Eukaryota; Metazoa; Chordata; Mammalia; Primates; Hominidae
Description: uncharacterized LOC105372703, transcript variant 3 (LOC105372703)
Source: RNAcentral
GUUUUUGCUGCGUCACAGGGAGACAGAAGAUGGGCUGCUAUUUCGUCGGCUAAAUGCUAUCAUUUUAAGCACCGUUCCAAAGAAAACAGGGAUCUUGCCAGAGGAAAAUAACAUAUACCAUAAAGGAAAAAGAAAUGUGCAUCAAGGCAAAUAAACAGCUCUCUACUAAGGGCCUAGGAUCUUGCUAGACGAGUCAUUUCUCUGGUUGAAAAGCAGUUGAGAAAGGCAAGACAAGGGGGGCGGGGGCCCAGCAGGGCACCUCUGAGCCCUUCCUGCUGCUCUUCAAAGACAGACGCAUUUUCCUUUCUACGGUCUCCUUGCAAGUCUUCUGUAGGCCCUGCCACCUUCAGGCUGACUGACUGCCUCCUUCAAAUAUCAGCAUUUGGCUCAGAAGAAAAGCCACGUCUGCCUACACAAUCUCACAAUCCGGCUUCAGCAAAGCAUGAGUUAAUUCAACUUCAUACUCGUGAACGUGAAGCGGGGGUUGGAAGGAAUGAAGGCUGCAGGACACCCAUGUACCAAGAAAAAGAAAGACAAAUUGGUUGUUUUAUCUACUUUACAUCAUGAUGGAGUCCUAAAAAGGGCCCCAUGAAGGCAGGCAGCCCAGGGAGGAAUGACUGGACGGUGACAUUGUGCAGGGGGUCUGGAAGUUGCCAGCGCAGGGGUUAGCAGCUGCAGCCUGGCCUGGUCCUGUCUGCCUGGCUGUCAAACCCAGAAGACCGUGGUUUCUGGUGGCCUCUGUGUGACAGCGGAGGAGGUGGGGCGAGGCCUGGAAGUGAAGCAUCUCGUGAGCCACUUAAGUGUUUAUGAAGCUCGCUAAUGUGCUUAAAUGAACGAGAAGCAGGUACUUGCUCCCAGGACCAGAGCCACCAAAGCAAUUUCCUCUGCAGCCCCUCAUACUUCGCACACUGGAAGCUUGCAUUCUUUCCCAGAGGACAGCCGGAUUACAGCACCGCCUCUAAUGCAACCCGAUCUGGUUUCUUUGAGCGCCGCGGUGAACGUGCAAUCUAUCUCAUAAAUGCAUCGCAGUGUUCCACAAAUCACCCACGUUCAUCCCUUGAGACGUCUUUAACUCGGGGCUUAGAGUUGCAAAUGAAUUCUCCUAUGGAUCUAUUAUUCCAUCAAAUAGCGGAGAGAGGGGACUAGCUUGUGCAGAGCCUUCAUAGAGCUGGGCUAAAUUCGAUUAUGCAAAGUCUAACGAGCACCAUUCAGCAAAACCAUGGUGGGUGUGAGCUGCAGGCCAGCCCCUCCACUGGGCCAUUAUCCAGGGGUAAACACCACUCGUGGGUUAGUUCCACGAGUUACUGGCUGAUUUGACCUGUGAUACUCCAAGGUGGAAGUAACCAAAUAAUAUGUAUCAUGAGCCCCAAGAACGAAGCCAGUGGAGAGUGGUACAUGCUAGAGGGUAACGCCUGGCCCUUUGCAGGACAGCACGUCAGCCAUGCGCCAUGGGACGAUGGUGGUGGCUGGGACACAGGAGGCCACGGCAGGAAAUGGGCAGGUGGGUGGGUCUAUGUAAGCUGGCUUUAGACUUCAAUCCACAAGCAUUUGCAGCUCAACUACUCAGCGUCUUAUCUUAUUUAAUCCUUUCAGCAAUAAACACUCUUUUCACAUGUAGUAAGGUUAAGGAGUCUACAUCACACCCUUUAUCAUUAUUAAUAAAGGGACACACCCUCCAGGGAUCCUAGGGAACCUCCUACCCACCCUGUGGUCACUCUAGGGAAAGGAAAGCUCUCAGGGACCGACGGGAGCCUGGGCACAUGCGCCACCACUCUCUCCUUUAUCCCCUCUAGCCCGGCUUGCUGGCUCUCACUUUCUUUUGUGCACUAGAACUCACGUACAAGUUGCACACCCAAACCCUUGCAUGCUGCAUUUCAGAGUCAACUUCAGUGAUUUUUGAGAGUGAUUUUGACAAUCCCAGUCAAAAUUCUAGCAGGUUUUUUUUUUUUACAUGACAAGUGGAUUCUAAAAUUCAUAGGAAAAUGCAAAUGACCUAGAAGAGCCAAAGCAAUUUUGGAAGGAGUAAAGUCGAAUGGCUGACGCUACCAGAUUUCAAGAUUCACUUGAAACGCACAGGAAUCAAGACAGGGUGGUGUCGACAGAAGGAAGGCGUCAGAGCAGGGUGACAGGAGGCAGGGCCACACACAGACGGCUGAUUGAUACCCGACAAAACCGCCGAGGUAAUUUCACAGGGAAAGGAACUCUUUUGAACAAAUGGUGCACCAACAAUUGGAUAACCAUACGGAAAAAAUUUAAAAAACAGAAGAACAUUGACCCUUCACGCACAUCAAACAUAAAUUAACUCAGAAUCCAUCAUAGGCUGGGUGUUGUGGCUCAUGCCUUUAAUCCUAGCACUUUGGGAGGCCAAGGCAGGCGGAUCACCUGAGGUCAGG